AUGUCAGGACACCGUGAAAAGACGGCCGUCUGUACCCUCAUCUUGGGCUUCCAGCCUCCAGAACUGAGAGAAAAACGAAUGUCUAGUGUUGAAGCCCCAGCCCAUGCUGUAUUGUGGUGGCAGCCUCGUGCUAAGACACCUGCCACCGGGCAGUGUGGAUGGGAUGCUGCAGCCCCGAGGGAUGACUACGGCAAAUGUGGAUGCUCGGGAGUUUUAGGAGUUGAUGGAUGCGCAAGGAUGUCGUCAGAAAAAGCCAGGGCUUCCCGAGACCAGGGGCAGCUCACAGGAGGACACCGGCAGAAGAUUCUGAUGGGAACAAAGCUGGAACCACAGGGUGGUUUUGGUUUUGGUUUGGUGCCUCCGUUAAGAGCACCGCUGGCUGUCGAGGCAGAGAGGAAGUGGAACAGAACCCGAGCUGGGAAGGAGCUGACACGUAAUCCCACAGAAAGUAAGUGACUGUUGGCAGAAAAUGCAUUUAGGAAAUGCGGUAACAGGCUCUGCCAACGGGUUGUUAUGAUUCAGGCUUGGGACAUGCACAGAGGUCUGGGCGCCAGGGCCACCCCAGGACACAUCAGUGGCGGCAGGACAGCCAGGUAGGUGAGGCAGGUGUACUCCCAUCUAAGAGCCAGAGUUGGUGUCUCCAGAGUUUGGCAAAUCUGACCCUGGGGGCAGAGAGCCUCGGGGAGGGGAGGGGAGUUGCUUUGGUAACUGGGUUACCUUGGGGUGAUCGCUGCCUGGCUUUGCACAUGAGGUGUGGGCAUGGAGCAAGGCUGCUGGGGCCUCUGAGGCCAAGAAAGGAAAAUAAAAAUGGAGUCAGCAUUGCUAGGAAAGUUCUCUAAAAUGAUGCCAGUAGGCCACUAGGGAUGUGUGACUUAGUCUCAGCCUGGAUGGAGUCUGACCUUUUGACCUGAUGAAGGCAUCCAGGACUUGGAAACUCCAGACACUCACCAGACCCUUACCCUGAACUUGCUCCCCUAGGGAUUUAUCUUGUAGAUGCCUGACUGCUCAGAGCCCAAAGACAAAUGGAUGGCCAGUGUGCACGUUGUCACGUGGUUUCUGCCAGCAAACACUGUCAACCAUCUAAGUGUCCGCCAACAGGUGCUUGGUACCAUGCACUGUGCUGAGGUUCCGGGGUAGUAGGCUGGCUGUAACAAGCACGUGGUAGAUGGAGUUCCUGGUGUGGCUUAGCAGUAACAAACCCGACUAGAAUCCAUGAGGACACGGGUUCGAUCCCUGGCCUUGCUCAGUGGGCUAAGGAUCCGGAGUUGCCUUGAGCUGUGGUGUAGAUCACAGAUGCGGCUGUGAUCCCUCAAUGCUGUGGCUGUGGUGUGGGGGGGCAUCUGCUGCUCGGAUUUGACCCCUAGCCUGGGAACUUCCAUGUGUCGCAGGUGCGGCCCUAAAAAAAAAUAAAUAAGAACAUGGUGGAUACAAAAAAUACUCCAUGAAAUGUUCAGAAACAUCGUUAAGGGACAAGAGCAAGACGUACAACAGGGUAAAAAGAAUAUGCUUGCAUGUGUGUAGAAAGUUUUGCAAAAACACACAAGAGGCCUGCCCGGAGCAACGUGUGGAAGGUCUGUGCUGGCGGGAGAACUUCCUUUGCAUUGUGCCGUGACUUCUGCUCAGUGCACAUAUUACCUCAAUGAAAGAAGCCCGUUUCUUCCUCACGAUUCCCCCAGAUCUGAGGGAGGCGCCCGGGGGAGGUGUUGCCUGGACUGCAACCCAGGCAUCCGCAUAAAGCCCAGCUGUCCCGAGGGAUUUCACACACACGUCUGGAACCAGGGUUGUCUUUUUAUUUAUUUAACUUUUAUUAUCAUAAAAGUAGUACGUGGUCGUGGAGAAUGUCUGGAAAAGCAGAAGGGAGGGAGAGACUUGCUCGUGGCUAUGCCUCCUAACUCUGCACUCUUCCUACUGGGUGGUUUCCUAAGAUAAAGCUCUUUCCAUCAUUGCAGGCGGUCUCUCGCAUCGGUUUCCUGAGGUUUUUUGUAUGUUUGUUUGUUUUACUUACUGUGGAAUUAUGAAUAUUGUCUGGUGUCCUUAACAAUCUUGGCGAAAGGCACGAGUUAUGUUUGUGGACGUGACCGCCUGCCCCUUACCCAGUUCUUCCCAAAGUUGAGCCUGGUUCUCCUAGGGGCGGUUUGGCCCUGUUGGAUUUUCUGGCAUCUUUGGUGAAAGGAGAGGAGCUUUGGUGCCAGGCCUUUGGUGCUCAUGGGACAUCUGGGAGCACAGUUCAUGGACUCCGUGGGCCCUCGAACCCCUGGGGAAACUGCCUCCAUCCCUGUUGACAUCGUUACUAUGGGAACAUGUAAGUUGGAGGCUCUUGCAAAGUGAC
This 2329-nucleotide long non-coding RNA is filed under the name Sus scrofa (pig). Its description in RNAcentral is "lncRNA (ENSSSCG00045020206.1)". The record is from RNAcentral. Lineage: Eukaryota; Metazoa; Chordata; Mammalia; Artiodactyla; Suidae.